CCACACAUUGACCAUUGGAAUUGAAUUGUCGUUUCCACCCAAAUCCCUGCCUCCUCCCCGUCAUUCCUGUGGAUUUGCCAGCUCUCCUCCUCCCCGACACCACUCUCCCUCCCCAAUCCUGCUCCUCCCCAUCCAUGGCGCUCCGAUUCGCCGCCACCAGCGAGCCCUCCCUCCUCCGCCGAUCCCUCUUCUUCAUUUCUUAUCCUUUCCCAUCUCCUAUUCCUCACCUCCCCCUUCAAUCCCCCGACCCCCAGUUGCUCCGCCCCGUGCUCCGUCCUGCUGCCGGGAGCAGCGUCCGAUGACCACAGUUGCCCCGCCCGGACCUCCGUCCUGCUGCCGGGAGCAGCGGCCGGUGACCCCCAGUUGCCCCGCCCGCAGUCCCUGGUAGGUCUCUUCCUCCACCUCUUCUCUCUCCCCCCUCCCACACACGCACUUCUCUUUUCUUGAACCCUAACCUCACUAAAUCAUCAGAUUUAGUACCGGAUCGACCUCAAGCACACGGGAUCUGGACACCUCCAGAGGAGAUUGACAUCUUGACCAUCUCUGCACCUUAUCCCUGUUGAGGGCAAAUUUUUGGCAAGGUUCGUCUAACUAAGCUUUUACAUUUGUACCAAUGGAAAUCUCUGUUCCAAGUUAAUUAGCUCCUGAUGCAUACCCCAUUGUCGUGUACUCCCUGUUAAGAAAGAGAUGAUGCUCGUGUACUUGUAAUUGCUGCCGUAUUUGGGAGAGCAAGACGUGCCAUUCCAUUCCAAGUAGCAGAACAUAGAGCCAGUUGUACUUGCUAGUAAUAGUGCAUCUCUGGCUGGCUCUUGCCGCAAGUUGAUUAGGAUUUGCAGAAAUUGGAUCUUUGAUAGGAACUUUAAAAGAUGCAAAUAUGGCAGGUUUUAGACGUAAUGGUUUGAUUACGUUCUGCUGCUCUUUGUAAUGCAGCUAUGUUUUAGCCUUUUAGGACAAAUAUUGCCAAAGAUGGGAAAGGUUGCUCUGUUUUCAUUUUAGACUCUAAAAAGCGCGCAAGAGCUCUGGAGAGGGUGUGUUAUCAGUUCUUACAAAAGUCAGAUUCACCAUAUUUUGCAUUCAUUAUUCAGGUCUGCUGCUAGCUCAAUAAGUUUAGGAAUAGAUUGAUCUGUUGUGGUUUUUGUAGCCUCUUAUAGAAAACAUUAGCAGACUGCUACGUUGGCCGGUGCUAAUUAAUUAGUAUGUGGGUUAACUUUCAGGUUGAAAUAUUUAGUCGAGUUGCCUAUAUGCAUAUUGGUUGUUGGUCCAUCCGGUUGCACUUUUCAGAAAUUAAGCUCCUAUAUAACCACAUAUACACUAAGCUGGGUAUGCAUAGCAUCAUCAUCAUAUGCAUAGCAGUGCAGUGCGCACACUGCACACACACUCCCUGUCUCGUUAAACCACAUGCAUAUAACCAUCUUAUUUGUCCAACAUGAAUCGGCUCUAACAAGAUGUUUUUUUUUUUCAAUUUUCAUUUACUUCUCAAUAUAGAUGUCGGACUUGCACGUUAACAUCAUUGCAUCAUGAUGAGAGGAGGAAGAAAAGAAAGAGGGCAGCAGCUGGAUUUUUUGUGUCGGUUGUCGUGAUAGUUCAACACACCUAUUGUCGGAGGAGGAUUAGAGAGCUUGAUGAUUUCAGCGAGGAUGAGACGGAGAUUAAGAUUAGAAAGAAUAUGCUUAAAUAAAUUUAUCAAGGUUCUAAUAAGUACUGUUAUGAUAGUUUGCGCCUAACUACAUGGUCCUUUGUGGACCUAUGCGCUAUCUUGCGUGAAAGAUGUGGUUUGUGCGACACUUUUGUGUAUCAGUCGAAGAAUCAGUCACAAUCUUUUUGCGAGAAAUAUUUUGUUUGCUGGAGGUAAUUAGAGGGAGAGAAUGAGAUAUAGGUAAAAAAACACAUUUGCCCUUCCUUGCGUCGUCUCCUCCGAGGCGACCCGGGGGCCCCAAAACCUAGCACCGCCAGGCUCGGCCAGCAGCUACUCCUCGUCAGGUGGCGGGCGCUUGAGGUGGGGGAUGUUCGAUCCCCUCUCGGUUGCGUGGCUCGGUGGAUCCAGGCAGCUCGACAGGUGUCCAUCCGGCAAUGGUGAUAUUGUGUGACUUCUUGUGUGACAACGUUGGCGGCUUCGGGCGAAGUUGGGCUGCUGUUGAGCUUUGGUAGUCGGUCUCAUCCGGCGGGUUCGAGGGGUUGCCGUGCCUCGCUUGUCUUCCUUGCGGAGGUGUGAUGAUGAUGACACUAGAUUGCAACCUCGACGGUGCUUUUCUCCUUGACGGUGUGUGUGUGUUCUUGUGUGGGUUGCCAGGUCGUCAUGUGUGCCUUAUGUUUUGCGGGCGUGUUAUGAUGGUUUUCGCCCGGUUUUUCGUUGAUUAACUGGGCAACUCUCUUCGACCUUUUUUUAAUGAAUCGGGCCCUAAGGGACUGCAUCUUGAAAAAAAAAACACGAGAGGUGGGAAUAGAUUACUUGUGCUGAUGCCUUGUAUUUUUUUACUCCAUAUAUGCACUACUUGAAGGUAGUUUUGUUGAUCUAGGUGGAUUAUGUCUUAUUCUACAAAAGAAAAUAUAUAGCUUUCUGAAAUGUGAUGACUUGCAAUACUGCCUAUAAAUAAAUUAAGAUGGAGUUUUAGAAGCUUCACAUUUUAUAAAUACUUCAGUAAGUUUGCUUCUCGUCAUAUUUGCAGGACAACAAAGAAGCCACAUGUUCAAGUCUCUUCAAGUCUUACUUGAGUGAUCGUGAUGCAAGUUUAAGCCUCUUCAAGUCUUACUAGAGUGGUUCUGAUGCAAGUUCAAGCUUCUUCAAGUCUUACUAGAGUGGUCCUUAUGUAAAAGUUCAAGCCUCUUGAAUGCAAAUAUUUAUUUUUUAUGGUUCUAAUGCAUUUGUGAUGGCACACUGUAGUCUUUCGUGUUCCUUCUUAACACAAGCUAUUGGAAGAAAAUGGUUGAAACUGAUGUUGUUCAGAUCCUUUUGAUCUUGAUCAUUGAAAAUGCACAAUGUGUUGAAUGUACAGACUAAGAUGUGCAUGCUGAUUAUUUGUAAUUUAAACCAUAUGGACGGGUGAAUCCACAUUGAAGAU
Molecule: long non-coding RNA, 3059 nt
Filed under: Triticum aestivum (bread wheat)
Lineage: Eukaryota; Viridiplantae; Streptophyta; Magnoliopsida; Poales; Poaceae
Description: long non-coding RNA (TAES_LNC014810)
Source: RNAcentral